This 642-nucleotide long non-coding RNA is filed under the name Anser brachyrhynchus (Pink-footed goose). Its description in RNAcentral is "lncRNA (ENSABRG00000011184.1)". The record is from RNAcentral. Lineage: Eukaryota; Metazoa; Chordata; Aves; Anseriformes; Anatidae.
GCUGGGGGUUAGGAAGAACACACACAAGACAGGGAAAGAGUAGAAGGCAGACAAUAGGGUGCAGGAAGGAGAACAGCUGUAGGGAAUAAAAACACUCAGGGGAAGGUCAUAUAAGGAGGAGGGGAAUCAUCACAUGGGUGAAGUUUUCAGGAAGGUGCUAUUGUGUGGAGACUUGUGAGGAGACCUGACCUUAUAAGGAAGAAAUAAAGAAGUACUUUUCACAGAAACGAGGGAAUCACUUUUAACUAUGAAGGAAACAAGAAAAGAACAAAUAAACAAAAUUCCAUAUUAAGAUACCCUUGCUCCAAACAUCUGUGUGGAAGUCUGUUGAAAGAAAUGGGAAUCCUUGACUGACUGUCAUGGAUCAGAUCUCCCAAAGACACUUUGGCCUAAGUUUCAUGUUUGCUUAGGCACAAUGAAGCACGCAUAUGUGAAAUUUUGCUGUUUAAUAAUGUCACCUGGAGGGUGUCUCAUUGCUUGCUGAAAUCAGUGGAAAGUGUGUCAUUGAAUGGCAUCUUCAGGAAGUUCAUGCAGGCCACUGCAUCUCAUCCUUUUACAGGGAUUAUUCCAGCAACUCCUGAAAUGCAAAACCUUCUGUGGCAACAGAGAAAAGGCAGUCUUGUGACUACGGCUCUGACCUAA